This 525-nucleotide long non-coding RNA is filed under the name Lonchura striata (white-rumped munia). Its description in RNAcentral is "domestica (Bengalese finch) lncRNA (ENSLSDG00000003421.1)". The record is from RNAcentral. Lineage: Eukaryota; Metazoa; Chordata; Aves; Passeriformes; Estrildidae.
CGGCGGGCGGGCGCGCAUGCGCGGCGCGGCGCCGCUGUCCGUUCAGCACCACGCGGAGCCGGGACCCGCUGCUGCCGGUUGUUUGCAGAUGCAGAAAGAACAUCAGAGACUGUUAGUGUAUUGUAGAGGUGUGUGCUGAGACACAGCUUUACACCAUCAGGAUAUUCAGUGAACUCAGCAACCUAGGUCUACACCAAUGGUUCUUUCAAAGGAUCUGGCUCCAUCUUUUCUCUGGCUGCAGGAUAAGUCUGACAGCCUCCAUCACUCUCAGGGUUGGACUGGAGCACAGCUGGUCUUCUUGGUUGCAUGGGAGAAGGUAUUGAGCUCAUAGGGUAAGCUCUGCUGUCAGUCAGUGCUGAGAUUGCACAGUGUAACCAGACUCCAUUUCUAAGCUGCUGAAACAAGAACACAUGGUGACUUCUGUUCAACUCUUCUCUGUACAUGCCACCUUCCUACUUCUUAUUCAGAAAAUAAUUUGACUAUACAGUCAGGGCUAAAAAAAAAUAAAUAAACAGAUGUAAAGCA